Non-coding RNA from Stegodyphus mimosarum, 65 nucleotides. Lineage: Eukaryota; Metazoa; Arthropoda; Arachnida; Araneae; Eresidae. The record is from Rfam.
GCCUUCGUGGUCAGCACGCUCGACUCGUAACCGAGAGGUCCGUGGUUCGAUUCCCGGCAAGGGCA